GACGAACGCUGGCGGCGUGCUUAACACAUGCAAGUCGAACGGAAAGGCCCUGCUUUUGUGGUGUGCUCGAGUGGCGAACGGGUGUGUAACACGUGAGUAACCUGCCCUUGACUUUGGGAUAACUUCAGGAAACUGGGGCUAAUACCGGAUAGGAGCUCCUGCUGCAUGGUGGGGGUUGGAAAGUUUCGUCGGUUGGGGAUGGACUCGCGGCUUAUCAGCUUGUUGGUGGGGUAGUGGCUUACCAAGGCUUUGACGGGUAGCCGGCCUGAGAGGGUGACCGGCCACAUUGGGACUGAGAUACGGCCCAGACUCCUACGGGAGGCAGCAGGGGGGAAUAUUGCACAAUGGGCGGAAGCCUGAGGCAGCAACGCCGCGUGCGGGAGGACGGCCUUCGGGUUGUAAACCGCUUUCGCCUGUGACGAAGCGUGAGUGACGGUAAUGGGUAAAGAAGCACCGGCUAACUACGUG
This 468-nucleotide ribosomal RNA is filed under the name uncultured bacterium. Its description in RNAcentral is "partial 16S ribosomal RNA". It matches the Rfam family "Bacterial small subunit ribosomal RNA", at positions 28 to 507 of the family's 1533-position model. The record is from RNAcentral.